UACGGAGGGGGCAAGCGUUGUUCGGAAUUAUUGGGCGUAAAGCGCGCGUAGGCGGUUAAAUAAGUCAGGCGUGAAAGCCCACGGCUUAACCGUGGAAUGGCGCAUGAAACUGUUUAGCUAGAGUUCAGGAGAGGAGAGUGGAAUUCCCAGUGUAGCGGUGAAAUGCGUAGAUAUUGGGAGGAACACCGGUGGCGAAGGCGACUCUCUGGACUGAUACUGACGCUGAGGCGCGAAAGCGUGGGGAGCAAACGGG
Molecule: ribosomal RNA, 253 nt
Filed under: uncultured bacterium
Lineage: Bacteria
Description: partial 16S ribosomal RNA
Rfam family: Bacterial small subunit ribosomal RNA
Source: RNAcentral